RNAcentral lists this ribosomal RNA (245 nucleotides) under uncultured Ralstonia sp. RNAcentral describes it as "partial 16S ribosomal RNA". It matches the Rfam family "Bacterial small subunit ribosomal RNA", at positions 109 to 355 of the family's 1533-position model. Lineage: Bacteria; Pseudomonadati; Pseudomonadota; Betaproteobacteria; Burkholderiales; Burkholderiaceae. The record is from RNAcentral.
AGUAAUACAUCGGAACGUGCCCUGUAGUGGGGGAUAACUAGUCGAAAGANUUAGCUAAUACCGCAUACGACCUGAGGGUGAAAGUGGGGGACCGCAAGGCCUCAUGCUAUAGGAGCGGCCGAUGUCUGAUUAGCUAGUUGGUGGGGUAAAGGCCUACCAAGGCGACGAUCAGUAGCUGGUCUGAGAGGACGAUCAGCCACACUGGGACUGAGACACGGCCCAGACUCCUACGGGAGGCAGCAGCU